GACGAACGCUGGCGGCGUGCUUAACACAUGCAAGUCGAGCGGUAAGGCCCUUUCGGGGGUACGACGAGCGGCGAACGGGUGAGUAACACGUGGGUGACCUGCCCUCCAGCUCUGGGAGUAAGCCUGGGAAACCGGGUACUAAUACUGGAUAUGACUCCAUGACGCAUGUUGUGGGGUGGAAAGCCUUGUGCGGCUGAGGAUGGGCCCG
Molecule: ribosomal RNA, 208 nt
Filed under: uncultured bacterium
Lineage: Bacteria
Description: partial 16S ribosomal RNA
Rfam family: Bacterial small subunit ribosomal RNA
Source: RNAcentral